Molecule: ribosomal RNA, 406 nt
Filed under: uncultured bacterium
Lineage: Bacteria
Description: bacterial SSU rRNA
Rfam family: Bacterial small subunit ribosomal RNA
Source: RNAcentral
GGGGAAUAUUGCACAAUGGGCGAAAGCCUGAUGCAGCGACGCCGCGUGCGGGAUGAAGGCCUUCGGGUUGUAAACCGCUUUCAGCAGGGACGAGGCCGCAAGGUGACGGUACCUGCAGAAGAAGCCCCGGCUAACUACGUGCCAGCAGCCGCGGUAAUACGUAGGGGGCAAGCGUUAUCCGGAUUCAUUGGGCGUAAAGAGCUCGUAGGCGGCCCGUUAGGUCAGGAGUAAAAUUCGGGGGCUCAACCCCCGCGCGCUUCUGAUACCGGCGGGCUUGAGUUUGGUAGGGGAAGGUGGAAUUCCCAGUGUAGCGGUGGAAUGCGCAGAUAUUGGGAAGAACACCGGUGGCGAAGGCGGCCUUCUGGGCCACAACUGACGCUGAGGAGCGAAAGCUAGGGGAGCGAAC